UACGUAGGGGGCAAGCGUUGUCCGGAUUUACUGGGCGUAAAGAGCGUGUAGGCGGCCAGAUAGGUCAGCUGUGAAAACUCGAGGCUCAACCUCGAGAUGUCGGCUGAAACCAUCUGGCUAGAGUCCGGAAGAGGAGAAUGGAGUUCCCGGUGUAGCGGUGAAAUGCGCAGAUAUCGGGAAGAACACCCGUGGCGAAGGCGGUUCUCUGGGACGGUACUGACGCUGAGACGCGAAAGCGUGGGGAGCGAACAGG
RNAcentral lists this ribosomal RNA (253 nucleotides) under uncultured bacterium. Its description in RNAcentral is "partial 16S ribosomal RNA". It matches the Rfam family "Bacterial small subunit ribosomal RNA", at positions 524 to 776 of the family's 1533-position model. The record is from RNAcentral.